GACCGCGUAGCUCAGUUGGAAGAGCAUUGGGCUAGUAUUCCAAAGAUCGUAGGUUCGAUUCCCACCGUGGUCA
This 73-nucleotide transfer RNA is filed under the name Paramuricea clavata. It matches the Rfam family "tRNA". Rfam says of the family: Transfer RNA (tRNA) molecules are approximately 80 nucleotides in length. Their secondary structure includes four short double-helical elements and three loops (D, anti-codon, and T loops). The record is from Rfam by way of RNAcentral. Lineage: Eukaryota; Metazoa; Cnidaria; Anthozoa; Malacalcyonacea; Plexauridae.